UACGGAGGAUCCGAGCGUUAUCCGGAUUUAUUGGGUUUAAAGGGUGCGUAGGCGGAAUAAUAAGUCAGUUGUGAAAGUUUGCGGCUCAACCGUAAAAUUGCAGUUGAUACUGUAUGUCUUGAGUGUACAAGAGGUGGGCGGAAUUCGUGGUGUAGCGGUGAAAUGCUUAGAUAUCACGAAGAACUCCGAUUGCGAAGGCAGCUUACCGGGGUACAACUGACGCUGAUGCACGAAAGUGUGGGUAUCAAAC
Molecule: ribosomal RNA, 250 nt
Filed under: uncultured bacterium
Lineage: Bacteria
Description: partial 16S ribosomal RNA
Rfam family: Bacterial small subunit ribosomal RNA
Source: RNAcentral